AUUGAACGCUGGCGGCAUGCUUUACACAUGCAAGUCGAACGGUAACAGGCCGCAAGGUGCUGACGAGUGGCGAACGGGUGAGUAAUGCAUCGGAACGUGCCCAGUCGUGGGGGAUAACUACUCGAAAGAGUAGCUAAUACCGCAUACGAUCUAUGGAUGAAAGCGGGGGACCGUAAGGCCUCGCGCGAUUGGAGCGGCCGAUGUCAGAUUAGGUAGUUGGUGGGGUAAAGGCUCACCAAGCCAACGAUCUGUAGCUGGUCUGAGAGGACGACCAGCCACACUGGGACUGAGACACGGCCCAGACUCCUACGGGAGGCAGCAGUGGGGAAUUUUGGACAAUGGGCGCAAGCCUGAUCCAGCAGUGCCGCGUGCAGGAAGAAGGCCUUCGGGUUGUAAACUGCUUUUGUACGGAACGAAACGGCUCUGGUUAAUACCCGGGGCUAAUGACGGUACCGGAAGAAUAAGCACCGGCUAACUACGUG
This 482-nucleotide ribosomal RNA is filed under the name uncultured bacterium. Its description in RNAcentral is "partial 16S ribosomal RNA". It matches the Rfam family "Bacterial small subunit ribosomal RNA", at positions 30 to 507 of the family's 1533-position model. The record is from RNAcentral.